This 161-nucleotide small RNA is filed under the name bovine gut metagenome. RNAcentral's name for it is "Clostridiales-1 RNA". It matches the Rfam family "Clostridiales-1 RNA". The record is from RNAcentral.
GAUACUAGGCUCGAAAAGUCCCGCGCGGGCAUGCUUGCAUGCACGAAGCGGACCUUGAGAGCCGAACAAACAUGAGCCGAACCGAUUUCCGAAGGAAAGCGAAAGGGCGGCGAAUGUUUGUAGGAUCGUGGGAGUUCGAAGAACGGAACGAUCCGUAGUAU